CCUAACACAUGCAAGUCGAACGGUAACAGGAAACAGCUUGCUGUUUCGCUGACGAGUGGCGGACGGGUGAGUAAUGUCUGGGAAACUGCCUGAUGGAGGGGGAUAACUACUGGAAACGGUAGCUAAUACCGCAUAACGUCGCAAGACCAAAGAGGGGGACCUUCGGGCCUCUUGCCAUCAGGUGUGCCCAGAUGGGAUUAGCUAGUAGGUGGGGUAACGGCUCACCUAGGCGACGAUCCCUAGCUGGUCUGAGAGGAUGACCAGCCACACUGGAACUGAGACACGGUCCAGACUCCUACGGGAGGCAGCAGUGGGGAAUAUUGCACAAUGGGCGCAAGCCUGAUGCAGCCAUGCCGCGUGUAUGAAGAAGGCCUUCGGGUUGUAAAGACUU
Molecule: ribosomal RNA, 391 nt
Filed under: uncultured bacterium
Lineage: Bacteria
Description: bacterial SSU rRNA
Rfam family: Bacterial small subunit ribosomal RNA
Source: RNAcentral